Molecule: long non-coding RNA, 379 nt
Filed under: Helianthus annuus (common sunflower)
Lineage: Eukaryota; Viridiplantae; Streptophyta; Magnoliopsida; Asterales; Asteraceae
Description: hypothetical non coding rna
Source: RNAcentral
UCGGCCCAUAAACAUGUCGCAUGCCAUACUGCAACGGGUUUUGGAACCCAUGAACAUUCAUUUCAGCUAAAGACGGGAACAACCCACCGAUACCAGUAGAAAACGCAAAAUUCCCAAAUCUAGCAGACGCCAUAGGCGCAAACCCUCCAAACAUAGAAUUCGAAAAGUUGUUAAUAUCCGGAGGAGGAGCGGUCGCAGGUCUCUGUCCAGCUGGCCUGUGCGGGAUAUCAACGCCGGGUAUGCGUUUGGAUCUCGGGUCAGUUUGUUGUGUCUUCCCUCUGCCAUACAGAGGAAUCAGCUUCUCCUCUUAUAUUGCAUUCAAAAUCCCCAACAUCAUUGUCCCUUGAUGAAGAACUUUCUGGAAACCUCAUCGAUUCGU